Molecule: ribosomal RNA, 393 nt
Filed under: uncultured bacterium
Lineage: Bacteria
Description: partial 16S ribosomal RNA
Rfam family: Bacterial small subunit ribosomal RNA
Source: RNAcentral
AUACGGAGGAUCCGAGUGUUAUCCGGAUUUAUUGGGUUUAAAGGGUGCGCAGGCGGGAGAUUAAGUCGGCGGUGAAAUUUUGCAGCUCAACUGUAAAAGUGCCUUCGAAACUGGUUUCCUUGAGUGUAGAUGAAGUAGGCGGAAUUUGUGGUGUAGCGGUGAAAUGCAUAGAUAUCACGAGGAACUCCGAUUGCGCAGGCAGCUUACUAAACUACUACUGACGCUCAGGCACGAAGGCGUGGGGAUCAAACAGGAUUAGAUACCCUGGUAGUCCACGCAGUAAACGAUGAUUACUAGCUGUUUGCGAUACAAUGUAAGCGGCUGAGCGAAAGCGUUAAGUAAUCCACCUGGGGAGUACGUUCGCAAGAAUGAAACUCAAAGGAAUUGACGGGG